Long non-coding RNA from Prunus dulcis (almond), 184 nucleotides. RefSeq lists it as uncharacterized. NCBI's taxonomy places the organism in Eukaryota, Viridiplantae, Streptophyta, Magnoliopsida, Rosales, Rosaceae. The record is from RefSeq and is a predicted model, not a curated record. The transcript is spliced from 3 exons.
CUCAACCUCGUUAUAUCUUUUGGGCAGGACUCAAUAGUGAGAAAGUGACAAACCAUGAUCUCAAAGAUAUUGUAUGGGACCUGGAACUGUCACAAAACGUUAUUGAGGCCUAUAUCCAAAUAGAAGAGGAUAAAAUAGACCCCAUGCAGACAGGGAGUCCAUAGUACAUGUCCACAUGGACUUG